CGAACGCUGGCGGCGUGCCUAAUACAUGCAAGUAGCACGCUGAAGGAGGAGCUUGCUUCUCUGGAUGAGUUGCGAACGGGUGAGUAACGCGUAGGUAACCUGCCUGGUAGCGGGGGAUAACUAUUGGAAACGAUAGCUAAUACCGCAUAAUAUUGACUAUUGCAUGAUAGUCAGUUGAAAGGUGCAACUGCACCACUACCAGAUGGACCUGCGUUGUAUUAGCUAGUUGGUGGGGUAACGGCUCACCAAGGCGACGAUACAUAGCCGACCUGAGAGGGUGAUCGGCCACACUGGGACUGAGACACGGCCCAGACUCCUACGGGAGGCAGCAGUAGGGAAUCUUCGGCAAUGGACGGAAGUCUGACCGAGCAACGCCGCGUGAGUGAAGAAGGUUUUCGGAUCGUAAAGCUCUGUUGUAAGAGAAGAACGAGUGUGAGAGUGGAAAGCUCACACUGUGACGGUAUCUUACCAGAAAGGGACGGCUAACUACGUG
Molecule: ribosomal RNA, 493 nt
Filed under: uncultured bacterium
Lineage: Bacteria
Description: partial 16S ribosomal RNA
Rfam family: Bacterial small subunit ribosomal RNA
Source: RNAcentral